Molecule: ribosomal RNA, 397 nt
Filed under: uncultured bacterium
Lineage: Bacteria
Description: partial 16S ribosomal RNA
Rfam family: Bacterial small subunit ribosomal RNA
Source: RNAcentral
ACACGUAGGGGGCAAGCGUUGUCCGGAAUUACUGGGCGUAAAGGGCGUGUAGGCGGCCGAUCAAGUCAGGUGUGAAAUUUCAGGGCUCAACCCUGAGCGUGCACUUGAAACUGGUAGGCUUGAGUGCAGAAGAGGAAAGUGGAAUUCCCAGUGUAGCGGUGAAAUGCGUAGAUAUUGGGAGGAACACCAGUGGCGAAGGCGACUUUCUGGUCUGCAACUGACGCUGAGGCGGGAAAGCUAGGGGAGCAAACAGGAUUAGAUACCCUGGUAGUCCUAGCCGUAAACGAUGGGUACUAGGUGUAGGGGGUUUAGACGCCCUCUGUGCCGCAGUUAACACAUUAAGUACCCCGCCUGGGGAGUACGGCCGCAAGGCUGAAACUCAAAGGAAUUGACGGGG